AUGUUCAACAAUCUAAUUGGUACACAUUUGACUUGCACUCUCAGAAAAUGGUUCAGAAGAUAUUGCAUCUAUGUCAGCAGCCUAAUCAAAUAUCACUGAAAUCUCUGGGAACAUUAAAUAUGGUCACAGGAACUCAGAUUAUUAAAGGAAUCUACACAUACUACACUCUUCUCAAGGAGCUCUUCUAGAUAGAGCAACUUAUUGAUGUUUUUCUGCUGAUUUUUUGUUGCUCAUUUUGAUUUUUAUAUUUGAACUUUUAAAGUAGAUUAUUACAUGUCCUACAAGAAAGCAGUACGGACAAUUUUGAUUGU
Long non-coding RNA from Bradysia coprophila, 311 nucleotides. Lineage: Eukaryota; Metazoa; Arthropoda; Insecta; Diptera; Sciaridae. The record is from RefSeq and is a predicted model, not a curated record.